UUAAGUUAAACAAGUUUUAAAUUAUGGCAACAUUGUCAAAUCUCAAUCGAAAAAAUUUCCCUGACGUUCGCACACAAGUGUAAUUUUGUGCAUUUUGUUUUCAUUUCACAGCGAUAUAAAGUCGGGGAAUAUACUAAAGUGUAUUAAAAAUUACUUGAGUUGAUCAAAAUAAUAAUACAAUACCAAAGGAUAUUUAUAAAAAUUAAUGAUGAGUGGAGAAAUCACUAUCGUUGGGCAAGUAGAUGCUAUUGAAAAUACAAUGCAAUUUGAUGCUGACUCUUCAAGUUCGGGUUCUCCUGUACCUACAUAUUUAACAACGCCACAACCUACCAAUAGCGCAAUAGCAAAAGAAACUCAUCCUUCUUCUAACAUUAGCAAUAAACGACAAGUAUUGCGAUUUCAUCCAUAUCAUGGCGCUAACAUAAUUUUGUACCAAGAUAAUACAGUUGCUUAUCGAAAAGCAAGCUUUGCCGAUGCAGUUACUUUCUCUGAAAAACCCCUACAGCCUGGCGAAAUAUUUUUGGUUGAAAUCGAAAAAAAUGAACGUGGUUGGUCUGGCCAUAUUAGAUUAGGUUUGACGAAAUUGCAACCUAAUGUCAUUGGCUCCAUGUCGGAGGGAUUGCCACAGUUUGCAUUACCCGAUUUGGCUAACUUAGGAACUAGUUGGAUUUAUCCCAUUUCAAAAUUCGAGUCACAUGCUCCUUUGCCUCCCGAUAAUAACCCUGUGCGAUUAAUAGGCUCGAGUUCUUUAUAUACAAUACCACCACUUAUUCAACCAUCGCCAGGUUCAGAAGAAGAUGAGCCAGUUAAAAAACAGAGAAAUAUACUAGGAAAUUCCAUGUAUGUACGUACACCGAUCGGGAUGAUUCCAAAACGUUUAUUGCGACCUGCUGUUGAUAACGGAGAUGGCAAUUCUGGUAUUUUGCUUACCGAUAAAGGCUCACGCAUUGGCGUUGUGUAUGUACCUACAGAAUCAGAUAAAGAUAAAGGUGAAAUGCAUUUUAUUAUUAAUGGGGUCGACCAAGGUCCAUGCACCAAGGAUAUACCCAUGGACAAUUCUCCACUCCAUGUAGUCAUAGAUGUAUAUGGCACAACAAAACAAAUUCGAAUCAUACAGCUUUACGAAAUAGUUUCUCUACAAAAUGCUUGCCGAGAUGAAAUUCUACUGCACACAAGACCACAAAAUAUCGAUAAUUUGCCACUUCCUGAACGACUUAAGAACUUUCUUCGCCGUAAUGACUAGAUAGGAAAGAAAGCCGUAUAAUAUAAGCAAAAUUUAGCGUCUAUAUGCUUGCAUAGAAGAUGAUAGUGUUUGAAUACGGCUUCGAAUGGGAUGUGGGAUAGCAGACAUUUUUUGUGAAGAUUGAAAGAAAGCUGACUAUAUUGAACGUUUUGUUUAUUGUUGACAAUGAUGGGACCAUAAUCUAUAACAUUCGCCUGUAUUUCAAAUGGGCAUAGUUUAAAUAAAAAAAAUUAACAUACAAAAAUAUUUAUACACAAAUAUUAAUUAAAUAUGUAGUAGUUUAUGCAUUACAAAAUAUGUUUAUAGUAGAAAAGGUAGUUCAUAAAACUGGAUUUUAUUUACGAAAUUUAAUGCAACUUAAAUGAAUCGUUGUAUUCACAAAGAAAAAGUAUCACAUUCUAUUGUAAAUGAACAACAAAUUGGCGUACAUUUACUAAAAAAUAUAAGUAUUGUGCUAUUUUUUUUAGAAAGGUGCAGUACAAAAAAAAAUUGUCUCCAGCUAAUGCACACAUUCGUAUUUACUUAUAUACUUUAUACCUUUAUAAUAAAACAUUGCAUAUAAAGAAACAGAUAAGAAGUUAACCUUAUCUUUGCACAAUGCUCUAACUAAAUAAAAGACAUUAAUCAUUUCAAAUUUUUACUUUUUGUAUACAUUCAUACAUACUUACAUGCAAUGUCGUGCGUUUAUGUAUUCUUAAUAUUAAUAUUACUAUAUGUUUUCAUUAAAUAAAAAGCUUGAUGAAUUUAAUUGUUGAAAUUUUCUAUACUAAGGGUUCCUUCGAAAAUAUUAACAGAGAACAUAAAAUACAAGACAAAUUUACACACGGCAGUAGUAUAGAUAUUAUAUUAUUUCAUCAUGGGUAGUACAAAGAGUAUGAAAACAAAAGGCCUAUGUAUUUUGUUUGUGUAAUAGUAGUUUCGAAUAGUCAAUGUAUUUGGUUGGUGUAAUAAAAAGUUCGUAACGU
RNAcentral lists this unclassified non-coding RNA (2208 nucleotides) under Ceratitis capitata (Mediterranean fruit fly). RNAcentral describes it as "neuralized-like protein 2, transcript variant X3". Lineage: Eukaryota; Metazoa; Arthropoda; Insecta; Diptera; Tephritidae. The record is from RNAcentral.